UACGUAGGGUGCAAGCGUUGUCCGGAAUUAUUGGGCGUAAAGAGCUCGCAGGCGGUCUGUCGCGUCGAAUGUGAAAACCCGGGGCUCAACCCCGGGCCUGCAUUCGAUACGGGCAGACUAGAGUUCGGUAGGGGAGUCUGGAAUUCCUGGUGUAGCGGUGAAAUGCGCAGAUAUCAGGAGGAACACCGGUGGCGAAGGCGGGACUCUGGGCCGAUACUGACGCUGAGGAGCGAAAAGCGUGGGGGAGCGAACAGG
Molecule: ribosomal RNA, 255 nt
Filed under: uncultured bacterium
Lineage: Bacteria
Description: partial 16S ribosomal RNA
Rfam family: Bacterial small subunit ribosomal RNA
Source: RNAcentral